This 27-nucleotide non-coding RNA is filed under the name Rattus norvegicus (Norway rat). Lineage: Eukaryota; Metazoa; Chordata; Mammalia; Rodentia; Muridae. The record is from RNAcentral.
UGCCUAUCUUUCUGCCAUUCUUAGCAU